GUCGUAGGUGACGAGCGUUAUCCGGAUUUACUGGGCGUAAAGCGCGUGUAGGCGGUUCGGAAAGUCGGGCAUGAAAGCUCCUGGCUCAACUGGGAGAGGCUGCCCGAUACUGCCGAACUCGAGGGCAGGAGAGGAAGGUGGAAUUCCGGGUGUAGUGGUGAAAUGCGUAGAGAUCCGGAGGAACACCAGUGGCGAAAGCGGCCUUCUGGCCUGCUCCUGACGCUCAGACGCGAAAGCCAGGGUAGCGAACGGG
RNAcentral lists this ribosomal RNA (253 nucleotides) under uncultured bacterium. Its description in RNAcentral is "partial 16S ribosomal RNA". It matches the Rfam family "Bacterial small subunit ribosomal RNA", at positions 524 to 776 of the family's 1533-position model. The record is from RNAcentral.